UGAUAAGUAUCCCACCUGGGGAGUACGUUCGCAAGAAUGAAACUCAAAGGAAUUGACGGGGGCCCGCACAAGCGGUGGAGCAUGUGGUUUAAUUCGAUGAUACGCGAGGAACCUUACCAAGGCUUAAAUGUAGAUUGACCGGUUUGGAAACAGACUUUUCGCAAGACAAUUUACAAGGUGCUGCAUGGUUGUCGUCAGCUCGUGCCGUGAGGUGUCAGGUUAAGUCCUAUAACGAGCGCAACCCCUGUUGUUAGUUGCCAGCGAGUCAUGUCGGGAACUCUAGCAAGACUGCCAGUGUAAACUGUGAGGAAGGUGGGGAUGACGUCAAAUCAUCACGGCCCUUACGCCUUGGGCUACACACGUGCUACAAUGGCCGGUACAGAGAGCAGCCACU
Molecule: ribosomal RNA, 394 nt
Filed under: Flavobacterium psychrophilum
Lineage: Bacteria; Pseudomonadati; Bacteroidota; Flavobacteriia; Flavobacteriales; Flavobacteriaceae
Description: bacterial SSU rRNA
Rfam family: Bacterial small subunit ribosomal RNA
Source: RNAcentral